GCAGUGAAGAAGAGCAAGGCCGACAAGGACCCCAACAAGCCCAAGCUCCCCCCGAGCGCCUUCUUCAUCUUCGCAGGGACACCUUCAAGAAGGAGUACAAGGAGAAGCACCCGACGUGAAGCAGGUCUCCGUGGUUAUUUCCCAAUGAUGGCCAGGCAGUGGCAGGAAUCACUUGCUUUGGUGCUAAUGACUACCCAACUAUCUAUGUUCGAUCAUUAGCUACCAAGCCAUUUCAUUGGUCUUCGGUUCGACCAUUGCGUCUUCAGUAGGAAUGCCUUGCUCGAAAAUUAUGUAGCAUCAAAACUGCUGGAUGCCCCCUUAAACCUUUCGAUUCCUUAGUAUGAGAAUAAUAUACAUAAGGAAUUAUGUGCUGGCUCCAUGGUUUGCUAAUUGCUUUCCUUGCUCAAUACUGAUCUCACGGCCACUAUAGCUAUAUUAUGCCCCUGCCUCAGCACUGAACUUAAUGUAAACUUGGUUCAGUUUUUUUUUAUAUUAUAAACAUGCUAAGAAAAAGUUAGGGAACCGCGGGCCAAGGCGCGCUAGAGGUCUAGUGUCUAUGAAGUGGUGUGCUUGAAAACCAAGGAACACUUCUAAUCCUUGUCGGUGUUCUUUUUAUUGUGGUAUAAGAUGAACUAGCUCAUUAUUGUUUGGUGAUUGGUUUGAACACAUGUUCUUUUUCUGCAGAAAUAUGUUGUGGUUCCUUGCAGAAUAAAUAAGUAACCAUCAUAGAUAAUCAUGUAAAAGUAAAAUUCUUGGAAUUAUUGUUUUCAUGUUGUAUAAUACCUAUUUAUUAUUUUACUGCUGAUGUGAGUUAAUCGUACUCUAUUCCUUUUAUUGAGCUACUCCACUACCUCCUCCAGCGUCUCUGCGGGGGCGCCCGACGGUGGGCAAGUCGUGGAUGUAAAUAGACCUGCUGCUAUCGACUGUCUUCCCGGACCACGUCCCCAAGCUGCUCCUGCCACCGACCCUCCUCAACUUUGCUCGUUGCCCGCUGCUGCUGCAGAUGUUGGCCUUUCAUGUUUCUUUGUGAUCUUCAGGACAAAGAAGUUGGAUGAAGCAUAGUUUUACCUCAUUGAGCUAGUUCUGUGAGUAACGAAGUCCUUGUAGCAGAACUUGUAUGUGUGCUAGUUCUGGGAGCUACUUCAUUGGAAUAAUAUUGAUCCUAUUUGUGUGUUAUAUGAUGUAGCAGAACUUGUAGGGCUCAUGUGAUAGACUUGGGCUGAUACACUUGGGUUGUAUGUGUGUUAUCUAAUUGUAAACUUGA
Molecule: long non-coding RNA, 1264 nt
Organism: Triticum dicoccoides
Lineage: Eukaryota; Viridiplantae; Streptophyta; Magnoliopsida; Poales; Poaceae
Exons: 3
Source: RefSeq, a predicted model, not a curated record